UCGAGAAUCAUUCACAAUGGGGGAAACCCUGAUGGUGCAACGCCGCGUGGAGGAUGAAGGCCCUCGGGUCGUAAACUCCUGUCAUCAGAGAGUAAGCCUUGGUCGUUAAUAGCUUCCAAGGUUGAUAGUAUCUGAAGAGGAAGGGACGGCUAACUUCGUGCCAGCAGCCACGGUAAUACGAAGGUCCCAAGCGUUGUUCGGAAUCACUGGGCGUAAAGAGUUCGUAGGCGGCGCGGAAAGUCAGAUGUGAAAGCCCGGGGCUCAACCUCGGAACUGCAUCCGAUGCUCCCGCGCUAGAGUAAUGGAGGGGUGACUGGAAUUCUCGGUGUAGCAGUGAAAUGCGUGGAUAUCGAGAGGAACACUUGUGGCGAAGGCGAGUUACUGGACAUUUACUGACGCUGAGGAACGAAGGCUAGGGUAGCGAAAGGGAUUAGAUACCCCCGUAGUCC
Molecule: ribosomal RNA, 449 nt
Filed under: uncultured prokaryote
Description: bacterial SSU rRNA
Rfam family: Bacterial small subunit ribosomal RNA
Source: RNAcentral